This 496-nucleotide ribosomal RNA is filed under the name uncultured bacterium. Its description in RNAcentral is "partial 16S ribosomal RNA". It matches the Rfam family "Bacterial small subunit ribosomal RNA", at positions 29 to 523 of the family's 1533-position model. The record is from RNAcentral.
AGUGAACGCUGGCGGCGUGCCUAAUACAUGCAAGUCGAACGCGAAAGUCCUUCGGGAUGAGUAAAGUGGCGCACGGGUGAGUAAUGCAUGAGAACAUGCCCUUAGAUGGGGAAUAACGUUUGGAAACGAACGCUAAUACCGCAUAACCUCGAGAGAGUAAAGGUGGCGCCGCAAGGGCUACCGUCUAAGGAUUGGCUCAUGUCCCAUUAGCUAGUUGGCGGGGUAAUGGCCCACCAAGGCAACGAUGGGUAUGUGGUCUGAGAGGAUGAUCACACACACUGGAACUGAGACACGGUCCAGACUCCUACGGGAGGCAGCAGUAGGGAAUAUUGCACAAUGGGGGAAGCCCUGAUGCAGCAACGCCGCGUGCGGGAAGACGGCCUUCGGGUUGUAAACCGCUUUCAGUUGGGACGAAGGUCGGCGCGUUAAUAGCGGGUCCGACUGACGGUACCUUCACAAGAAGCUCCGGCUAACUACGUGCCAGCAGCCGCGGUAA